Molecule: ribosomal RNA, 309 nt
Filed under: uncultured bacterium
Lineage: Bacteria
Description: partial 16S ribosomal RNA
Rfam family: Bacterial small subunit ribosomal RNA
Source: RNAcentral
AGAGACAGCAGUCGCCACGGGAAUACGUAGGGUGCGAGCGUUAAUCGGAAUUACUGGGCGUAAAGCGUGCGCAGGCGGUUUUAUAAGACAGAUGUGAAAUCCCCGGGCUCAACCUGGGACCUGCAUUUGUGACUGUAUAGCUAGAGUACGGUAGAGGGGGAUGGAAUUCCGCGUGUAGCAGUGAAAUGCGUAGAUAUGCGGAGGAACACCGAUGGCGAAGGCAAUCCCCUGGACCUGUACUGACGCUCAUGCACGAAAGCGUGGGGAGCAAACAGGAUUAGAUACCCCCGUAGUCCCUGUCUCUUAUAC